CUCAACUUUUAUUUCUCUCUUGAACCACACUACCUUCUCUGUCAAUCAAAACCAAAAAGAACCCUAUAUCUAUAUCAACCCUAAUCCAGCUCUAUCUCCCUAGCUUUUUCUUCAAUUGGUACCAUUUCACAUCAAGUUACCGUUAGAAGCAAGAGUUGAAGAGGCAUGGAGAUAAAUCAGAACGUUGUGAAAUGAGUAUUUUGAAGUCUGCAUCAAUGGUACAUGCAAUACUGAAGUACGAGCCAAGGACAAGGAGAAAAAGGAGCACAACAGUCUGUGGAAAUGCCUAAACCUGGUUUAAUACCAGCAGUAUCGUAUUCUCAAACUGGAUGUUCCAUCUCGAAUAGUUACCACGUCCUUCCUCUGAAUUACUGCUUGAGCAUUGCCAAACCCUACAACAUAUAAAAUCUUUGUGCAUAACCGUGUCAUACUCUGAGUAAACAUAUUUGCUAGCUGAAAUUGUUGUUCCACUGCGCAUCUCAAUAUCUGCAGAACUGUGUGCUUGUGUGCAUUCAUCCCUGAUCGGAUUUUCCUAAGCCCUUGUUUCCCUGACCUGCUGAUCACAUAUUGACUCUGUUUGCAUGAUUUUGAAAACUAGCUUUUGAUUUCUCAUAAGUUUUGAUUCACUGCAUUAUGAUUUUCUCA
Papaver somniferum (opium poppy) is the source of this 645-nucleotide long non-coding RNA. RefSeq lists it as uncharacterized. The record is from RefSeq and is a predicted model, not a curated record. The transcript is spliced from 2 exons. NCBI's taxonomy places the organism in Eukaryota, Viridiplantae, Streptophyta, Magnoliopsida, Ranunculales, Papaveraceae.